RNAcentral lists this unclassified non-coding RNA (328 nucleotides) under Succinivibrio dextrinosolvens. RNAcentral describes it as "Long range pseudoknot". Lineage: Bacteria; Pseudomonadati; Pseudomonadota; Gammaproteobacteria; Aeromonadales; Succinivibrionaceae. The record is from RNAcentral.
ACAGAUGAAGCGGAUUAUCAGGUUAAACUACGCAACCUAAUUCGCUUCUUAGAAGAGGGCAAUAAGGCUAAGGUAACUCUGCGCUAUCGCGGUCGCGAAAUGGCUCAUCAGUCCUUAGGUUUAGAUGUUCUCAAACGUGUAGAGAAAGAUCUAUGCGAAGAUAGAGGCAUUGCCAGUGUAGAGUCUGCAUCACGUGUUGAAGGCAGACAGGCUACUAUGGUUUUAGCCCCUAAAAAGAAAUAGUUACAGGGUUACAAAGUCCUAGUAAUAGGCUCCUGUAUCGUGUUUAUAUAUAUGCAAUAAUGCGGAGUAUACAAUGGCUGGAAAA